CUCCGUCACUUCCCACACUGUGGAAUGAAAACAUACACCAUCAUGCGAUAGACAACAAUCCCAUGACUGCAGACACGGGGAAUGAAUCUCCAACCUUUGGAACUGAAGGACACUCUUUCAUUGGAGUAUACGGUGGCCACGAUCUAGAAUUUGCUUUUGAAGCUUUAACAGCGUUAUGUGAGCAUACAGUGUUUUGAGCAGCGAGCAGCGGAGUCAGAAUGAAUUAAGGUAAUUUUGUGCUAAGGCUGUGUUCUCCGCUAUGGAAGAAGCAAUACAAUCUCUGCCUGAAGGGAGAGUUAAUAUUUUUUACAUUCCGGCAGAGUGAUGCAAUAAUGAGCUGGUGGAUGAGCAGAGUGAAAGUCAUGGAGUCAAAAGAAGACAGUUACAGGCUCAUGCUUCCAAUGGCUGGUGUAGAAAGGAAAUAGGAGAUAACCAACACCACUCUUCUGUACGUGUAUAUUAUGUAAAAGAUGCGAUAUCUGACCCAGAAAUCACAUCUUUGUAUGGCCUGUUGAUUAAACCAUUUGGCAUAAUAUUUUA
Molecule: non-coding RNA, 540 nt
Organism: Podarcis muralis (Common wall lizard)
Lineage: Eukaryota; Metazoa; Chordata; Lepidosauria; Squamata; Lacertidae
Source: RefSeq, a predicted model, not a curated record